RNAcentral lists this ribosomal RNA (377 nucleotides) under uncultured bacterium. RNAcentral describes it as "bacterial SSU rRNA". It matches the Rfam family "Bacterial small subunit ribosomal RNA", at positions 523 to 898 of the family's 1533-position model. The record is from RNAcentral.
AGACGUAGGGGGCGAGCGUUGUCCGGAAUUACUGGGCGUAAAGGGCGCGUAGGCGGCAAGGUAAGUUAGAUGUGAAAACUCAGAGCUUAACUCCGAGAUUGCAUCUAAAACUGCCUAGCUUGAGUGCAUUAGAGGAGAGCGGAAUUCCUAGUGUAGCGGUGAAAUGCGUAGAUAUUAGGAAGAACACCAGUGGCGAAGGCGGCUCUCUGGGAUGUAACUGACGCUGAGGCGCGAAAGCUGGGGGAGCGAACGGGAUUAGAUACCCCGGUAGUCCCAGCCGUAAACGAUGGUCACUAGGUGUAGGAGGUAUCGACCCCUUCUGUGCCGCAGCAAACGCAAUAAGUGACCCGCCUGGGGAGUACGGCCGCAAGGCUAAA